UGGCUCUAUGUUGUCCUCAUUGUACAUGCUGUGUGUAUUUUUAUUACAUACACAGCGCAUGCAAUGUGGACAUAAUGGAGAUCA
MicroRNA precursor from Chrysemys picta bellii (western painted turtle), 84 nucleotides. NCBI's taxonomy places the organism in Eukaryota, Metazoa, Chordata, Testudines, Emydidae. The record is from Ensembl.